AGAAGUGGGGCUGAGUUCCCCAGUGCCCUGUAAGGGAACCAAAGGUGGUGAGGACUCCAGCAAGGCUGCUGUGCCAAAGUUCCACCAUUCCCAACAAUGCUGCCAUGGGCACCACACUGUGAGUGUGCCAGCCUCUGUGGACCUUCAGGGACUGGAGUGUCCCUCCAGGAUAGCAACUGGGAGUAAGGGGAGCCAGUCCUAAAGGAAGCAAGUACAUAACGAACAAGAAAUGGAUGGUUGCUGAAUUAAUGAAUAUUUAGAGAACACACUGGGUGAUGGGAAAAGGAAACGGACACAACACACAACAAGACAAGGAUUCCAGAAUGAGCCUGAUAGUGAUAAGCAACACAUGAUUUGGAGGGGCUUCAUGUCUUCCCAGAAUUGUCUUGCCUCUGGGUGAGUUAUCAGUACAUAGGUGGAGUCCAGAAACACAUAGCUAAGAUUUACAAGAAGAUGUACUAUUCCAUCUCGUCCAUUAUGGGACGGCCACUUACUGGUUGUGCAAUCCUGGGAAAUUAUGCCUACAGUUCCUGAUCUAUAAAGUGGAAAUGAUAAAGAACCCAUAUGUCAGGGUUGUUG
Fukomys damarensis (Damara mole-rat) is the source of this 579-nucleotide long non-coding RNA. RefSeq lists it as uncharacterized. Lineage: Eukaryota; Metazoa; Chordata; Mammalia; Rodentia; Bathyergidae. The transcript is spliced from 3 exons. The record is from RefSeq and is a predicted model, not a curated record.